RNAcentral lists this unclassified non-coding RNA (231 nucleotides) under Hevea brasiliensis (rubber tree). Lineage: Eukaryota; Viridiplantae; Streptophyta; Magnoliopsida; Malpighiales; Euphorbiaceae. The record is from RNAcentral.
GGAAUUACCAGAGAGAAAGGUAAAAUUUUGUUCAUUUUUUAUUUUCAUUUAUAAUUUAUUUUAUGUUAACAAAGUAAUUAGAGUACUAAUACUUUACUUGUAAGCAAGAUUCAAAAGUAGUAGUUCAACAUAUAACCACCACUUGAUUGACUCUUUAUAUAUAUAUAUUAUUAAUUAUUUUCAAGGUACACCUAAUAAAGUAUAUGUGAUAUUGACAGGGGUGAGUUAUCG